RNAcentral lists this ribosomal RNA (253 nucleotides) under uncultured bacterium. Its description in RNAcentral is "partial 16S ribosomal RNA". It matches the Rfam family "Bacterial small subunit ribosomal RNA", at positions 524 to 776 of the family's 1533-position model. The record is from RNAcentral.
UACGAAGGGGGCUAGCGUUGUUCGGAAUCACUGGGCGUAAAGCGCACGUAGGCGGAUCUUUAAGUCAGGGGGGAAAUCCCGAGGCUCAACCUCGGAACUGCCUUUGAUACUGGGGAUCUCGAGUCCGGGAGAGGUGAGUGGAACUGCGAGUGUAGAGGUGAAAUUCGUAGAUAUUCGCAAGAACACCAGUGGCGAAGGCGGCUCACUGGCCCGGAACUGACGCUGAGGUGCGAAAGCGUGGGGAGCAAACAGG